GCUUGUUGAAAAUCGUCCAGAACAUUACGUCUACCGAGCUUCCCUGAUCCACUAGCACACGAUGCACCUUCCUUCCUGCAGUUACCACUGAGAUCACCACCGGGUCGUUGUCACGGGGAACAACAUCUUGAAGGUCGGCCUUGGUGAAGACAAGGUCGACAUCAAAAGCAUCAUUGACCCUUUGUGCUUCUACCGACAUCACCG
RNAcentral lists this long non-coding RNA (204 nucleotides) under Phaseolus vulgaris (common bean). RNAcentral describes it as "long non-coding RNA (PVUL_LNC001745)". The record is from RNAcentral. Lineage: Eukaryota; Viridiplantae; Streptophyta; Magnoliopsida; Fabales; Fabaceae.